Molecule: transfer RNA, 85 nt
Filed under: gamma proteobacterium IMCC2047
Lineage: Bacteria; Pseudomonadati; Pseudomonadota; Gammaproteobacteria
Rfam family: tRNA
About the family: Transfer RNA (tRNA) molecules are approximately 80 nucleotides in length.
Source: Rfam by way of RNAcentral
GGAGGGGUGGCUGAGUGGCCGAAAGCACCGGUCUUGAAAACCGGCGACGGGCGACCGUCCGAGAGUUCGAAUCUCUCCCCCUCCG